GACGAACGCUGGCGGCGUGCCUAAUACAUGCAAGUUGAGCGCUGAAGGUUGGUACUUGUACCAACUGGAUGAGCAGCGAACGGGUGAGUAACGCGUGGGGAAUCUGCCUUUGAGCGGGGGACAACAUUUGGAAACGAAUGCUAAAACCCCAUAAAAAUUUUAAACACAAGUUUUAAGUUUGAAAGAUGCAAUUCCAUCACCCAAAGAUGAUCCCGCGUUGUAUUAGCUAGUUGGGGAGGUAAAGGCUCACCAAGGCGAUGAUACAUAGCCGACCUGAGAGGGUGAUCGGCCACAUUGGGACUGAGACACGGCCCAAACUCCUACGGGAGGCAGCAGUAGGGAAUCUUCGGCAAUGGACGAAAGUCUGACCGAGCAACGCCGCGUGAGUGAAGAAGGUUUUCGGAUCGUAAAACUCGGUUGGUAGAGAAGAACGUUGGUGAGAGUGGAAAGCUCAUCAAGUGACGGUAACUACCCAGAAAGGGACGGCUAACUACGUG
Molecule: ribosomal RNA, 497 nt
Filed under: uncultured bacterium
Lineage: Bacteria
Description: partial 16S ribosomal RNA
Rfam family: Bacterial small subunit ribosomal RNA
Source: RNAcentral